Molecule: ribosomal RNA, 253 nt
Filed under: uncultured bacterium
Lineage: Bacteria
Description: partial 16S ribosomal RNA
Rfam family: Bacterial small subunit ribosomal RNA
Source: RNAcentral
UACGUAUGGUGCAAGCGUUGUUCGGAAUCAUUGGGCGUAAAGGGUAUGUAGGCGGAAUUAUAAGUCAGGUGUGAAAACUACGGGCUUAACCCGUAGCCUGCAUUUGAUACUGUAGUUCUAGAAUUUGGGAGAGGCAAGUGGAAUUCCUGGUGUAGCGGUGAAAUGCGUAGAUAUCAGGAGGAACACCGGUGGCGAAAGCGACUUGCUGGCCUAAAAUUGACGCUGAGAUACGAAAGUGUGGGGAGCGAACGGG